This 254-nucleotide ribosomal RNA is filed under the name uncultured bacterium. RNAcentral describes it as "partial 16S ribosomal RNA". It matches the Rfam family "Bacterial small subunit ribosomal RNA", at positions 524 to 776 of the family's 1533-position model. The record is from RNAcentral.
UACGGGGGGGGGCAAGCGUUGUUCGGAAUUACUGGGCGUAAAGGGCUCGUAGGUGGCCAACUAAGUCGGACGUGAAAUCCCUCGGCUUAACCGGGGAACUGCGUCCGAUACUGGUUGGCUUGAGUUUGGGAGAGGGAUGCGGAAUUCCAGGUGUAGCGGUGAAAUGCGUAGAGAUCAGGAGGAACACCUAUGGCGAAAGCAGGUUACUGGCCCAAUACUGACGCUGAGGCGCGAAAGCUAGGGGAGCAAACAGG